Molecule: unclassified non-coding RNA, 232 nt
Filed under: Hevea brasiliensis (rubber tree)
Lineage: Eukaryota; Viridiplantae; Streptophyta; Magnoliopsida; Malpighiales; Euphorbiaceae
Source: RNAcentral
CAGAAACAACAAAUCCAAGAACAGAUCCAUGAGUCUUUAGAAACGCUCGGCCAGUGACGCGUCAGGUCUUGGGUUUUAAUCUUGUACAGCAUAGCUAUCAUAGCCAUCUUUGUACGAGCUGCUUCGAUCACCGUAACCAGAACCUCUGUCUCUGUUGUACCCUCCGCCUCCUCCAGAGGAAUAUCCACCUCCUCCACUCUUGUAUCCUCCUCCACCACCACCGUAGCUUCUG